UUGAGUGUCCGUCACUGGGGAGCCCACUGAGUUCUCCUCCCAGGCCCACGGGUGGCUGGGAGGCAAUUCCGUUACCAAUUUGGUAUCUCCCCGUCAACAGCAGCCACAAAGCGGGCAGCUCAUCCUCCCACUGGACAUGUCUCUAACUUGCACUAUGAGCAGUCAGCCCUGAGACCCCAAAUCCGGCACCAGCAGAGGCCACGUCUCCCUCUCACCACCUGAAGUCAGCCUGGGAUCCAGCCGGGAUCCACAGGGCAGGGAAUUCCUUCCCUUGAUGCCCACUAGGGAGCUCUUGCCGUAGCAGCUGGGGUAGGGUGGGGACUUGAUGACUUGGGCCUUGUGGCUCUGAUAAGAUACAAAGAGAAGCCUUCCCCUGCUGGCUGCCCUUGACACCCUCCCCAGCUCCUCCAGCAGGGCUCCCCACCCCCUGGUCUGACGUCCCACAAAUCUGGGCUGCAGCAUUUCCUACCUUGACUCACUGUUGCCUUAAUUUGUUUCUUCCUAUUUAACAUUCAGUCAUUAAUAGCAUGGACUCUGGUCUUGGACAACCUUAACUUAAGCCAAGUGUCUCCCUUCUCUGUCUCGGUUCCUACUGCUGUAAGUGAGGAGAAUGCUAGUUCCUCUUUUAUAGGCUUGCUGUCAGCACUAAAUGAGUGGAUGCAGGUAAAGCAUUCAUAACAGUGUCCGGAACAUAAGAAACACUGCACUCCUGUUGACUGUUUUAUUAUUGUUCCUUAGGCCUCCAUGACGCCUCCUAAUCAGUGGGUUCUUCCGAGGUUUCAUCCGUCAGGAGAGAGGGAACAGAGAGAGCCUGUCAGCUCCCCGCCAGGAUGCAAUCUUUUCAGAAGCUUCAACAAGAGACGAGUAGAGUUAAAAGAGAAUCCUCUAAGGAUGCAAGGUACCUUCCAGCAAAGUCAAUGCAUGUUACUGUCCAAACUUUCAACUGCAGGCAGAGCUAAGCCAUGAACUCCAGAUCAGACAGAAACCAGACCUGGAGCAGAGAGGGUGCCCGUUGUACCAGGGUCCCCCGAGAGCUUGGCCUGGCUGGCACACAGGCGUGUGUGUCAGACACUCAGACUGGAGGACUGCUGGCUGCACCUGACAGGGCAGGGGAUGUGGGCUUUCCAGAUCAGAACACAAAAACUCACUUCCUAAUUGUAAAGGAGAAAAAGAGCUGAGCAGGCCAGCUUCUCUCAAAUUUAGUCAAACAGGCUACUUUGUUGUUCUUAAGCUCUAAAAACAAAAAACUACCCACCCUGUGGCUGCUACUGCUGCCUGUGUCAUCUCAGAUGUCACAGUGGGUCCGAAGGAGGCAGGCGAGUGUCUGCAAGGCACUCAGGGUGGGAGUGGAGUUGAGAGAAGCUGCCCCCACCUGGAGAUCACCUUGCUGCACCCUCUCCACUACCCUGCAGAGAAAGGCAGUUAGCAGAAGAGCAGGUCCACAGGCAGUUGUGACUUCCCAAUGGGACCUCACUUCCAGGCUCAUGAGCCUGGACUGCAUUGCCAUCAGCCUUCCCUGGACAAAGCAGCAGAAGAAACAAGCACGAAGGAGCAGUCCCGCCACCAUGUGUUCAGGAGUUUGCCCUGGAAUCCGAAGCCAAGUUGUUAGAAUUGUUUCAUUUUACACUGGUUUUCAGGUCACCCCAGGCCUAGAAUGGCAUGUGCUUCUAUAACUCAAGACAAGCUGCCAACUUCUCAAGAACUUUCUCUAUCCUGACACCCAGACAUUCAAAGUCUGGGGCUGGCAUCCAUCUCCUGUUUUCACUCAGGCUGCUUACCUGUGUUGUCAAAACCUUAAACAGCAGAGCCUCUUUUACUGUUUCCCCCUCCGAACUUCACAGCCCCUGUGGAAACUCCCCCAGGAUGUAUCCUGGUGUCCCCGAGAUGUCUGCUGGGACAUGAAGAGUAAUGGGCAGCUCCCACACAUAAACCUAGGGAGCUUGACAGCUGCCCUCCACGAUGCCAGCCUGAGCCUGGGAUGAAGAGGAUGGCACGAGAACCCAGUCCUCAUGAGAUACUCAGAAAAUACCUCAGCAGAACUAGAGAACAGAUAUCCCCUAAACCCCAGUAUUCUUUGACAAUAUUAACUCCAUGAUUCCAUGAUCACUGGUGUUACCAAAUCCCGGUCUUUUCCUGCUGCCCUAAGAUCAGCCAAGAGCUAACCUUUCAAGCCCAUUUUCUCUCCAGAAAGGACAACAAUUUAAGACAUGCUUAAACUGACCAGUCAAUAAAUGGCCAGAGGUCAUUAUGAGGGUUAACUUUAUUUUGAAAACUUACAAAUCAAAUUAAAAUAAAAAACAGCUUGAAAUCAUCAGAGAAAAGGGCUAAAAUAAUUUCAAAUUUUGACAGGUGGAUGGAAUUGCUAACCUAUAUAAGGAAAGGUAAAACCAUAGUCUUGACGGGAAGUCGUUGGUUAAAUGUUACCAUGUGGGUGCACCUCCCCCUAC
Manis javanica (Malayan pangolin) is the source of this 2447-nucleotide long non-coding RNA. RefSeq lists it as uncharacterized. Lineage: Eukaryota; Metazoa; Chordata; Mammalia; Pholidota; Manidae. The record is from RefSeq and is a predicted model, not a curated record.